AAUUCUUUGCCGGGGCAAUGCCGUUCUCGUCGAUUCAGCAUAGCUUUGCCCGUUUGAAGUCGAGUUUCUAUCCCUUCAAGAUGUUGGAUUUUAUCCUGAUGGAAGAGGAAGAUCAAAAGUUUCCAGUUGUAGUUUUGUCCCAAAAGGAUCUAUAAGGGAAAUCCAAUAUCAGAGGAGAUCCUUUGAAAGGGAUAACAAGGACUUGCCUAAUCCCAAGAAUUCAGAUUCGAUUCGAAAAAAAAAGGAAAAGAAAAAGAGAAAAAAAUCAAAAUCAAAAUCAAAAUAAAGAAAAAAACAAAAAGAAAAAGAGAAAUCAAUCAAAGUCAAAAUAAAAAUAUGAAAAGCAAAGAAAAGAAAAGAAGAGGCCAAGGCGAAAACCCAA
Molecule: long non-coding RNA, 382 nt
Filed under: Gossypium raimondii (Peruvian cotton)
Lineage: Eukaryota; Viridiplantae; Streptophyta; Magnoliopsida; Malvales; Malvaceae
Description: long non-coding RNA (GRAI_LNC009377)
Source: RNAcentral